RNAcentral lists this ribosomal RNA (254 nucleotides) under uncultured bacterium. RNAcentral describes it as "partial 16S ribosomal RNA". It matches the Rfam family "Bacterial small subunit ribosomal RNA", at positions 524 to 776 of the family's 1533-position model. The record is from RNAcentral.
UACGAAGGGGGCUAGCGUUGUUCGGAAUUACUGGGCGUAAAGCGCACGCAGGCGGAUUGAUAAGUCAGGGGUGAAAUCCCGGGGCUCAACCUCGGAAUUGCCUUUGAUACUGUCUGUCUUCGAGUUCGGGAGAGGUUGGCGGAAUUCCUAGUGUAGAGGUGAAAUUCGUAGAUAUUAGGAAGAACACCAGUGGCGAAGGCGGCCAACUGGCCCGAUACUGACGCUCAUGUGCGAAGGCGUGGGGAGCAAACAGG